RNAcentral lists this signal recognition particle RNA (99 nucleotides) under Acidimicrobiales bacterium. RNAcentral's name for it is "signal recognition particle sRNA small type". It matches the Rfam family "Bacterial small signal recognition particle RNA". From Rfam's summary of the family: The signal recognition particle (SRP) is a universally conserved ribonucleoprotein involved in the co-translational targeting of proteins to membranes. Archaeal SRP consists of a 7S RNA and homologues of the eukaryotic SRP19 and SRP54 proteins. The record is from RNAcentral. RNAcentral also lists the same sequence under 1 other name. Lineage: Bacteria; Bacillati; Actinomycetota; Acidimicrobiia; Acidimicrobiales.
GGCCGGGUCCUGUGCAACGACGUCCCGUGAACCGAGUCAGGGCCGGGAGGCAGCAGCUCUCAGCGGAGUUCGUCGUGUGCCGCAGAUCGCCUGGCCGCC